GAUGAAGAACGUAGCGAAAUGCGAUAAGUAAUGUGAAUUGCAGAAUUCAGUGAAUCAUCGAAUCUUUGGACGCACAUUGCGCCCGCCAGUAUUCUGGCGGGCAUGCCUGUCUGAGCGUCAUUUCAACCCUCAUGCCCCUAGGGCGUGGUGUUGGGGAUCGGCCAAAGCCCGCGAGGGACGGCCGGCCCCUAAAUCUAGUGGCGGACCCGUCGUGGCCUCCUCUGCGAAGUAGUGAUAUUCCGCAUCGGAGAGCGACGAGCCCCUGCCGUUAAACCCCCAACUUUCCAAGGUUGACCUCAGAUCAGGUAGGAAUACCCGCUGAACUUAAGCAUAUCAAUAAGCGGAGGA
RNAcentral lists this unclassified non-coding RNA (348 nucleotides) under soil metagenome. RNAcentral describes it as "partial contains 5.8S ribosomal RNA, internal transcribed spacer 2, and large subunit ribosomal RNA". The stretch from base 1 to 120 matches the Rfam family "5.8S ribosomal RNA", at positions 35 to 154 of the family's 154-position model. The record is from RNAcentral.